GAUGAACGCUGGCGGCGCGCCUAACACAUGCAAGUCGAACGGCACCCCUCUCCGGAGGGAAGCGAGUGGCGAACGGCUGAGUAACACGUGGAGAACCUGCCCCCUCCCCCGGGAUAGCCGCCCGAAAGGACGGGUAAUACCGGAUACCCCGGGGUGCCGCAUGGCACCCCGGCUAAAGCCCCGACGGGAGGGGAUGGCUCCGCGGCCCAUCAGGUAGACGGCGGGGUGACGGCCCACCGUGCCGACAACGGGUAGCCGGGUUGAGAGACCGACCGGCCAGAUUGGGACUGAGACACGGCCCAGACUCCUACGGGAGGCAGCAGUGGGGAAUCUUGCGCAAUGGGGGGAACCCUGACGCAGCGACGUCGCGUGCGGGACGGAGGCCUUCGGGUCGUAAACCGCUUUCAGCAGGGAAGAGUCAAGACUGUACCUGCAGAAGAAGCCCCGGCUAACUACGUGCCAGCAGCCGCGGUAAUACGUAGGGGGCGAGCGUUAUCCGGAUUCAUUGGGCGUAAAGCGCGCGUAGGCGGCCCGGCAGGCCGGGGGUCGAAGCGGGGGGCUCAACCCCCCGAAGCCCCCGGAACCUCCGCGGCUUGGGUCCGGUAGGGGAGGGUGGAACACCCGGUGUAGCGGUGGAAUGCGCAGAUAUCGGGUGGAACACCGGUGGCGAAGGCGGCCCUCUGGGCCGAGACCGACGCUGAGGCGCGAAAGCUGGGGGAGCGAACAGGAUUAGAUACCCUGGUAGUCCCAGCCGUAAAC
This 759-nucleotide ribosomal RNA is filed under the name uncultured bacterium. RNAcentral describes it as "bacterial SSU rRNA". It matches the Rfam family "Bacterial small subunit ribosomal RNA", at positions 28 to 807 of the family's 1533-position model. The record is from RNAcentral.